CUUUUAGCAGAAAACAAGACAAUGGCCAAGGUGAAGGAUUCACACUCUGAAAUGGCCCAAGCUCGCCAGAGUGAUGGCAUCAAUGUAAUCUUUGAUCAGGAGAGCUCUUCCUCCUCCUCCCGUUCCCACUCCCGCUCUAGAAGCCCCGGUGUCAGCAGCCGCUCCUCUGGUUCCGGUCGCCACAGAGGACGUGGUAGCUACAGGAGACGUUACAGGUCUUCAUCAUCUUCGUGCAGCAGGUCCUCCUCUCACUCCAGGUCCCGCUCUCACCCCCGGUGCCACAGACGGUCCUCCCGCUGUCGCUGUGACAACCAUCACAGAUAUGGUCGUGGCCAGUACAGAGCCCACUCCCGCUCUUUGAGCCGGUCAGCCUCACCAGACAGAUACUCAAGUCACAGACAGUACAGGUCACGCUCCAGGUCCAGUCGCCAGACCAGGCACGGGAGAGAUGUGAGCAGUUUAAGAUACAGAUCGUCCCGUUCUUCAUCCAGAGCCAACAGGAGCCGCUCAAAGUCCAGAGCCUCAACACACUCUGUCAGUUUGAGUUUAGAUGAUAAAAUGGAAUUCCUCAACGCUGCAAAGGUCAAGGCUGUGAAGAUCCCAGAAAAGGAGAAGCUGGAACUCCUGGAGAGUGUGAAACCGAUCCUGUCAGAGCAGUCAGAGGAGUCCAGACAGAGUUCACCAGAUACAUGGGUGAGACAUGACGCUGAUGAAAGGACUCCAUCAAAGAGCGAUGAGGUGGAGCCUGAUGAUAUGACCAGCCCAAAGAUGUCCCCAACAAGGAAAAUAAUCUCUUUCAGCAUCAAUAAUUCUGUGGCCAAACCAACGGCAGCCGCUCCAUCUUCUGCUAAGGUAACACCAAGAGUGGACAUCUAUGAAAGCAGGAAGCCCUAUGGCCACUGGGUUCCAGUCAAAACAGGCCAUAACUCACGCAAACGCACACUCGCCAUACUAUAG
Molecule: long non-coding RNA, 957 nt
Organism: Sparus aurata (gilthead seabream)
Lineage: Eukaryota; Metazoa; Chordata; Actinopteri; Spariformes; Sparidae
Source: Ensembl